This 1890-nucleotide long non-coding RNA is filed under the name Panax ginseng (ginseng). RNAcentral's name for it is "long non-coding RNA (PGIN_LNC009886)". Lineage: Eukaryota; Viridiplantae; Streptophyta; Magnoliopsida; Apiales; Araliaceae. The record is from RNAcentral.
GGUAAUUUGUUGAUUUGUAUUGGCUUGGUGAUUUGGAGUGGUGGGGAGCAUAGUUGUCACAGCGCUACGGCGAGAUGCGGUAGUAGUUGACCGUCAGGACGCCAUAAGCGAUAAGGUACCAGCCAUAGCUUAACAAUGUACAAUUUAUUCAUUAUUUGCUUUACCUCAAAAAUAUAUUCGACAAUAAAAUUUUAUAUACAUUAAAACUCAAAACAUAAUAACUAAUACUAUGAAAUACAAUUAAAAACACAAUUAUAUGAAUACUUCACAAUUAAAAUUCAAAAAUAAAAUACUUGACAUUGAAAACUAGUAGAACAAAUUAACAAACACUACAUAGAGAAUAAAUGAUCAACUAAUCAACAAUCAUCACACAUUACAAGUCUAAUAAAUAAUAAAUAUUACACCAUAUAGCUAGUCCAUGGGUUAUAAUGAGUGUACAAAAUUACUUAAUCACUUAAUUUGGGUCAACUAUCAAGGGGUAAAUUUUGGCGGCUCGACGUCUAAGCCAAGGCGUUGACUUGUUCUUCUUUAGCGUCAGGACUCCUAGCUGUUGCCUAGGUGACGCCAUGACAACUAUGGUGAGGGGUCUAUUUAUAGAUGACUAGAGAAGGGUCUAGAAACUUAAGGUAAGUAGAGGUUUGGAAGGUUCAAAAACUCUAACUUAGUGGUGAGCAUUGGUAGAAAAGUGAUGGUUCUUGAUGUUGGUGGAAUACUCAAGAAACUAUCAAAUACAUAAAUUUUCACUACAUCCCUCAAAAAUAAAAUUUAAAUUAAUAAAAAAUUACCAAAAGUUUACUUUAAAUUUUUAACACGGUUGCCUCUAAACAAUGGUGUAAAAUAUUGGAGGACAUCUUUCUUCACCUUGUGAUUCUCCCUCCAUCUAUAUGUUCCUAUUAUACACAUUUCUAAAAUCAAUUAAUUGUUAAGUAUAACAUUCUUAUUGUCACAAAGUUCUUACAGAAUACAAAUUUCUCCUAUUCCAAGCACCAGAGGUAAGAAAUCAAAUAAUAUCAUCUAAUGUGGAUGAAACAAGCAUCUAAAUCACAGUGUUCAACAAUUAGCAGCAUACGAAUCUAGUAAAAUAGUCCAAAAAAGCUGAUGAAAUCCAUUGAAAUGCCGACCUUUUCAUCAUCAAGUACCAUGACGUAACAUAAACAAACACCAACCUUAGAAGAUAAAAAAAAGUUUUUAAUCAACCAAUACUAAAACAAAUCCACAAAAAUGUAGUUUUUUCCCUCUAAAAAACUCCUCUUGGAACUAAUGACAAACCUCCUUUAUAACAGUUAACAUCUCAAAAUUCCUACAACACAAACCAACCAAAUUCUGUGUCUUAAUUUAUUAUUAUUUUUAUUUGGAAAAAACCAAUCAAAUACCACAUUCAAAUCAUUAAGGACCUUUUUUUUAAUAUCAAGCAACUAACCCUAUAUAAAACAAUAACCACCUUUUCCUACCAAACAGAAGAAAUAAACAAACAUAUACCUAAUUCAGAAGGAUUGUGUUAAGGCCGUACCUUUGUUUUUUCCUUCCUUUAUAUUCUCUCAAUGGGAAAACUGGAAUCCAACAAUAUUAACAUGGGUGAUUCAAGUGAUGGGUUCAUCAAAUGGAAAUCUUGUUGCUUGCUUUUCUUAUGGUGGCUACGCUACAUAUUGGGUAAAAAAGGGAAAACAUUAUUAUGAGAAAAAAAAAGAGAAAGUUUAGGUUAGAAAAAUACGAGAAAAAGGAUGAGAGAAGAGGAGGAGGGAGAGGGCCCCAAGCAAGAAGGAAGGAAGUUGUCGGAGGAAUUUAUGUAUGUAUUUAUAAGGGCGGGAUUCGUCGAUCUGUUUAGAUUAGAUUGUUAUGUUGUUUCUUCUAUUGGAAUUGGAAUUAAAAUAUAAUAACUGUUUGGCUCAG